RNAcentral lists this long non-coding RNA (1326 nucleotides) under Nicotiana tabacum (common tobacco). RNAcentral describes it as "long non-coding RNA (NTAB_LNC014721)". Lineage: Eukaryota; Viridiplantae; Streptophyta; Magnoliopsida; Solanales; Solanaceae. The record is from RNAcentral.
AUAUCUAUAUAUAAAUAUAAAGUAGGGAAUAGCAAAAGUGAUGUGGCAUAUCUCAAAUUCCAAGAGACCUAUUUAUCUUUUUUCUCAUUUAUUUGCAAUUUUCUCCUUAUUAUUUAUAUAAUAUAUAAAACUCAAUUCAACUUCUGUUUUAAAAAUCAGAAGUCACAACCGUUACUAAAAGUCACAUACUUACAAACGAUUCCCAUUAAUUAGGAAUACCAAAAGCCACAACAGUUUUGUAACGGUGCAUAAUCUUUGUAACGAUGCAUACAAAGAUCAGCUUCACUUUAAAGCAUUGAUCCAAUCACAGAAACGCCGUACUCCAACAAAACAGAACAGAUGUUAUUUAUAUUAUAGUAGUUGUUUCUCUUUUUCUCUCUUAAUCUUUUUGUUUGAAUUUAAUAUUGUCUUCCUCAGAAUAUGCUCACAAUUUUCUUGGUACGUACUCAAGAUAUGCUUCAUUUUUUCGUAGAUUUGACUGAUUUACCUUCCUUAGGAAAGAUCAGAAAAGGAAAACGCUUCUGCAAUGUAAUUUUGUGUUCUUAAAAUAAGUUCACAUGUUCUUGGGUAUUGACACAACAUUCAAAUUCACUAACGCUUCUAUUGGAAAUUAAAAUUGCAUAUACAAGAUUCUUCAUGUAUAUGAAGUUGAAAAAGAUAAGUCAGAUGCUUCUCAUGUGGGAUGGCACGAAUACUCCAUUAGUCACUAUCAAUUAUCUAAACAAAGUGAGUGCUUUUUACUUUCCUAAGUAGGCUUUGAACUCGGAGUACACUUGUGAUGUCAGUAGACAAAGUUCAAUUAGGAGAGGCCGGUGCGCAGUGGAAUGGAACUUUACCAAGCCGAAGUGGCUUACUCUUGCAAUAGCUUUAUUCUGCUUACAAUCGUUUGGGUUACAUCUUUAUCAAGGCCUCAAGGGCUAUAUAUGGACAUACUGAAGAAGAACAACACUAAUGUAUAUAUGGUAAAAUUCUCUUCCACUUUUUUUUCUUCCUUUUGCAUUAUUUUAUGGAGGCAACAUAUCUUCUUUUUUUUUACAUUUAGUUUAAGCUGAAAUUAGUGUUACUUAAUGUCUCUCCGUAAUCCUUGAAAGCUGGUGGUACUGGAGGAUUAAUACUUUUGCUUUUUUCCAUUUUAUAUAGAUUUUCAGGAUUUAUGAUUUUGGUAAGAGUGGAACCAUGAGUUUUGAAGUUGAAGAAGAUCUCUUGCAGAUUGUCUCUAUAUUCUCAUUCAUCCGUUAGCUUUUCAUUGGUAUGAAAGUUUAUAUAGUUGAAUCCAGUUUUUCUUUUAUGUGUUAUAUGUUUAAUUACAGAUAUUCUUUCAAGCUU